ACAUCAGAUCAGUCUGUUUCUGCAUAUGAUGGUGAGGACUUCACUCUGAGCUGCUCUGUAGACUCUCACAUCAAACCUGAAGACAUGGAGGUUUCAUGGAAGAAAACAGAUGAAGAUAUUCUGCUCUACCAAAACAAUGAGACUUUCUCAGAUUCAUCAGAUGGGCAAUACAGAGACAGAGUUGAGUUCUUCACUGCUGAGAUCCCCAAAGGAAACUUCUCUCUCAGACUGAAGAGUGUCAGAACUGAGGAUAAAGGAGUUUACAUGUGUUUAGUGUUUGCUGGAGGACUUUCAGCCAAUGCAACUGUAGUACUGGAGAGACUGGGUUUCUCUUGGCUACACAUAACUGCGUUGAUUCUCUGUAUUUUUGCAUCUGGAUCUGCACUUCUCUCCUUGCUUGUUUACUCCAGAACAGGAAAUCAAGAAAAAAGGCUGUGUCUUCAAGUUUGUCUUUUCCUUUGCCUGGAUAUAACUAUGCUGUUGGCUUCAAUCAUAUGGUGUGUUAUUGAAGGUUCUUUGUAUGAGACCGUCUCUUGCUGCAUGCUCUAUAUUCUGGGGCCUCUGAGGUUGUUUUGGGUUAAACCAUUAACCACAGAUUUGCCAGAUAAAAUCCUGAAGUAUAUCAUGACUGCACAUGCUGAUCAUGCAGCGUUUAUGGUAGUGAUGUAUUCAGUACUUUCAGCUGAACAUUUUCCAAACAUCAGCACAGUCUUCAGCACAGUCAGCUUUGGUUUGCUUGUCCUGAUGUGUCUCCUCUUCAUUAUACGUGAGUGAUCAUCCAUUAUGGAGCAUUAUCCAUUAUCCUCAUCUUGUAGUAAUGCACUAUUGAAAACGCAACAUUAACCUUUUUUUUCUUUAUAAAAAUAGCAUUUUUUAUAAAGGAAACUUAUAUUUCACAUUUUUUUAAUAUUUCAGAUUAAUUUUACCGCCA
This 931-nucleotide long non-coding RNA is filed under the name Sinocyclocheilus grahami. RNAcentral describes it as "lncRNA (ENSSGRG00000045438.1)". The record is from RNAcentral. Lineage: Eukaryota; Metazoa; Chordata; Actinopteri; Cypriniformes; Cyprinidae.